UGAUAGAGGCGCGGAUGUUAAGAGUAGCCCCCUUGAAAGACGGCAGGAACCGUUGGGGCGAAAGGAGCAGCCGCCGAAGAGUAUCGGACUUCCUGAUCCGGUAUAUCUGGGUCGUCGGAGAAUAUCCGGCGGACUGUCGCGUAAGCGGAGAGCUGUCA
Molecule: non-coding RNA, 158 nt
Filed under: human gut metagenome
Also listed under: 2 other names
Description: Lysine riboswitch
Rfam family: Lysine riboswitch aptamer
About the family: Riboswitches are metabolite binding domains within certain messenger RNAs that serve as precision sensors for their corresponding targets. Allosteric rearrangement of mRNA structure is mediated by ligand binding, and this results in modulation of gene expression. This family includes riboswitches that sense lysine in a number of genes involved in lysine metabolism, including lysC.
Source: RNAcentral